AUAGAUUAUUCGAACACCACGAAGCAUUUUCUGUAUGCGUAAAGCUUGUUAAACAUCUCUACGCUGCAGUCCGUCACUUUCUAUGCCAUACAGAAUAUAUGUUUCUCUUUCAAGAUCAGAAGGAACACCAACCUUUUUUAAGGCAUGAUACCAGAAGUCGAAAGAAGUGUCGUCUCUUGAUCAACUUCCAACUUGCUGUUAGUCUCAGGGCAACUUUAAAGCACGAACGAGUUCUCAACACUAAAAGUUGUACAUCUACAUGAACUGCAAAAUGUUGAUCUCAUACAACUGCGAAGAAUUUUCUAAAUCCCCUACGAAUUCCACUUUUCACAUCUUAUAUGUCACAAUCUUCCCAGUCUUGUUUUCUUUCUUUUUCCCUUUUGCGGAGGCAGACGUUCCAUAAGCUGUUUGACAAGCUUUGACUACAUUGCAAACAUGAAAAUCAUCCCUUGGUAUAUUAUUGAGAAUAUUUGCUGCAGAUUUGUAGUCCCCUAAUGCCAACAAGGCUCGAU
RNAcentral lists this unclassified non-coding RNA (512 nucleotides) under Hevea brasiliensis (rubber tree). The record is from RNAcentral. Lineage: Eukaryota; Viridiplantae; Streptophyta; Magnoliopsida; Malpighiales; Euphorbiaceae.